AUGAGAAUAAUUAGUUGGAACUGCCGGGGACUCGAGAAUGGCCCGGCAGUUCGUGGCCUCUUGGAUCUCAAGAGGGCGGAGGAUCCCGAUGUGGUGUUCUUGUGUGAAACCAAGCUUUAUGAGAAGGAAAUGGAGCAGUAUCGGUGGAAGUUGGGGUUGGUGAACAUGUGUGUGAGGAAUCCAGAUGGGAGGAGUAGAGGGCUAGCAAUAUUGUGGAAGCAGGGAGUUAAUCUCUUGAUGAGAUCAAUAGGGAGGAGGCACAUUGAUGCAGAUAUCACGGAGGAAAAUGGGAUGGUGUGGAGACUUACAGGGGUCUAUGGUGAGUCGCAGGCCAGCAGGAAGAAGGAAACAUGGAGAACGAUGCAUCUCCUCCAACAACAACAUUAG
This 387-nucleotide ribosomal RNA is filed under the name Triticum aestivum (bread wheat). Its description in RNAcentral is "partial small subunit ribosomal RNA". Lineage: Eukaryota; Viridiplantae; Streptophyta; Magnoliopsida; Poales; Poaceae. The record is from RNAcentral.